This 388-nucleotide ribosomal RNA is filed under the name uncultured bacterium. RNAcentral describes it as "bacterial SSU rRNA". It matches the Rfam family "Bacterial small subunit ribosomal RNA", at positions 28 to 417 of the family's 1533-position model. The record is from RNAcentral.
GACGAACGCUGGCGGCGUGCUUAACACAUGCAAGUCGAGCGGUAAGGCCCUUUCGGGGGUACACGAGCGGCGAACGGGUGAGUAACACGUGGGUGACCUGCCCUCAGCUCUGGGAUAAGCCUGGAAAACCGGGUCUAAUACUGGAUAUGACUCCAUGACGCAUGUUGUGGGGUGGAAAGCCUUGUGCGGCUGAGGAUGGGCCCGCGGCCCUAUCAGCUUGUUGGUGGGGUGANGGCCUACCAAGGCGACGACGGGUAGCCGGCCUGAGAGGGCGACCGGCCACACUGGGACUGAGACACGGCCCAGACUCCUACGGGGGCAGCAGUGGGGAAUCUUGCGCAAUGGGCGAAAGCCUGACGCAGCGACGCCGCGUGAGGGAUGACGGCCU